AGAGUUUGAUCCUGGCUCAGAACGAACGCUGGCGGCGCGCCUAAUACAUGCAAGUCGAGCGAGAAGGUGUAGCAAUACACUUGUAAAGCGGCGAACGGGUGAGGAAUGCAUGGGUAACCUACCCUCGAGUGGGGAAUAACUAGCCGAAAGGUUAGCUAAUACCGCAUACGUUUCCGGGACUUCGGUUCCGGAAAGAAAGCAAUACCGUGGGUAUUGCGCUCAUGGAUGGGCCCAUGUCCUAUCAGCUUGUUGGUGAGGUAACGGCUCACCAAGGCUUCGACGGGUAGCUGGUCUGAGAGGACGAUCAGCCACACUGGCACUGCGACACGGGCCAGACUCCUACGGGAGGCAGCAGUAAGGAAUAUUGCGCAAUGGACGAAAGUCUGACGCAGCGACGCCGCGUGGGGGAUGAAGGUCUUCGGAUUGUAAACCCCUUUCGGGAGGGAAGAUGGAGUGGGUAACCACUUGGACGGUACCUCCAGAAGCAGCCACGGCUAACUUCGUGCCAGCAGCCGCGGUAAUACGAAGGUGGCAAGCGUUGUUCGGAUUCACUGGGCGUACAGGGAGCGUAGGCGGUUGGGUAAGCCCUCCGUGAAAUCUCCGGGCCUAACCCGGAAAGUGCAGAGGGGACUGCUCAGCUAGAGGAUGGGAGAGGAGCGCGGAAUUCCCGGUGUAGCGGUGAAAUGCGUAGAGAUCGGGAGGAAGGCCGGUGGCGAAGGCGGCGCUCUGGAACAUUUCUGACGCUGAGGCUCGAAAGCGUGGGGAGCAAACAGGAUUAGAUACCCUGGUAGUCCAA
Molecule: ribosomal RNA, 796 nt
Filed under: uncultured bacterium
Lineage: Bacteria
Description: bacterial SSU rRNA
Rfam family: Bacterial small subunit ribosomal RNA
Source: RNAcentral